CUGGAAAAUGAGUUACAAACUAUAAAAAUAUAAUUUGGCCUAGGUUCACUGUAGAAAUGUCUUUACAAACAAUGACAGAAGUCUAAAUGAACACUAGUUCCCGCUUCACCCUUCCUUUGCCUUGCAAAUAGUUUUUUCAGAGAGAAAUAAAUGGACAUACAACUUAAAAAAGGUGGCAUUUUUAUUGCAACAUAAAUGUUAUUUACAUUGUUUUUCUGUUGAAAAAGACAGAAAAUUCAAAUUCUUGUUGUUGCAGUUUUUUUGAUGUGCAUGGACAAUACCUUUUCAUCUGACACAAGAACAAAUCUUUAAUCAAUCAACAGCAAGAGACUGAAAAAUAACAUGACGGUCGCCCGUUACGGAAUCUGGAGCUUGUACGAAGCCUUUUGAAGGACCAGACUACGAGCAACGAUUCAGAUUGUUCUUGAGAUGCCAUUUGUAUAUUUAUAAUAAUGUAAUAAUAGACAGGCUAUUGAAAAUAACCCUACGUUUUACUAUCUAAUAUAGUAAAAUAAUAUAAGAAACGUUUUACCCAAAACUUUUGCUUUCAAAAAUCUAGAAAGAGUAAUAUUUAGAAUUUAAGAAAUAUUCUUACAGUAUUAUUGUAUAAAAGACUAACUACAGUGAAAAAUAAGCCAAAUGUUUUUUUUUUCCUUCAAUUUUCCUUUUUUCUCAUAUAUUAUACAAGAGAAAGCAACUUGGAAUAGAGCAAAGUCUAACUUGGCAAAGAAAGGACCAAAGAAAAAUCGCAAGAACCGUAAAUUAAGAACUAAAGCGGGAAAUUACAUACUAUUCCUUCAGAGUUCGCCAGCAUCAACAAAGCUCAAUACUGAAACAAAGAACUAAGCCACGUUCACUCAGAAAAAACAUGAAAAAGCUUUUUGUUUUUUUCCGCAAAAACAUUUUGAAAUCAUAAACUUUAAUAUAAACUCUUGAUGUGGCAUCUUUUAUUCUAAUUCAGUCCCUUUUUCGACAGAGUAUAAAUUCUGAAUGUGGCAGCCUUGUUUAAGGUGUAGAUAAAGAUGAAAGAAAAUAUUCAAAGAAAUACAUGGAAUAUAAAGCAAGUCUUAAGACCAAAGACAAACCUAAAGAAUGACAUUUAAAAAUUAAAGAUAUGAUUGAUGUCUUAAACAUAAAAGACAAUCCUAUUAAGUGUUUUUGUUCCUCAUUGUGCUUCUAUCAUAUUUAACAAAAUGCAUAUAAACUAUCUAGUCUGGCUUAAUGUAUGUUGGAUGAAACAUAAUCAAAACUGGACAGUAUACUGCUGGAAGCCGUAAGACAUUUGCAAGACAAGACAAAAUAUGUAUAACAAAAACUUCAUCGGGAAUAACUGCAUUAAAACUGUACGGUCUUGAAAUAUUAACAGAGAGAAAAAUAAGUGAGGUGUUCAUCGGGCCAGGAGAACGUGUAAUCAUCGGCGUUUUUAAAAUUUUAAACUAAUCAAAAAACCUCGGCCGGUAUUAGCCGGUAGUGAAACAAUGAAAAAAACAAGCCAAUUCCGUGCGACGUCAGGAGCAUCUAAAUGAGAUUUGUCCCUGCUUACAUUUAACACUACAUGGCAAAGGGGCCGGCAAAAAAGUCCCAUUUAUUUUUAAGUAAGAUACUAACAAUAUGCCGGGAAUGCUACGGUUUGCAAAUAGUUUACUUUAUUUUCACUGUUCACUACCCAGGAAAAAGGAACAUGACAACACCCGAGUUUACCAUCCGCCCGUCACCUGCAUGUUGUUUAUGCUCACGUAGUUGGGACAAUCAUUCCGCUGGCUGGCAGCACAGAAACCGAUCCAAACUACGCAGAAACAAUCAACGGUAGUUUCGAUGGCCGGUGGCAGGAUUAAUACAAAUAUAAAUAAUAUGCUUUUUUGUAUUGGGGGCUGUAUUUCUAACAGCUAAUGAUCAUUUUCAUUUGGGUAUAAAUUUCCCUCUGUCCAAUAAAUUAAUCUUCUCAGUGGCCAAAUAUUUCCCCCUCAUCUAGGACUUGCCAAAUAUUUUCCAGGGUGUAGUGCUCAGUAUUAAUGGGGAUCCUGGCAAACUAUAGAUCAACUGAAAAGCACUAUACUUCUCUUUGCUGAACUUUCCCUUUAGACGUACACUUUAUAGCUCAAUAACAUAAUAAAUAGAAGAAAAAGAAACAGACAGACAAAACGGUUGCUGUUACAAUGCAUUAGUCAAUUCGGUUUAGGCACAGGGCAAUUUCCUCCAAUGUUUGGAGGAGAUUGCAAAGUCUCUGAUUGUUCAGAAGCAACAACACUUCUUGCAGACAUUGAUAUGUGCUGAGGAUCUUUUCUUUGAGCUGGGGAGAAAUUUGCAGAUGGAAACGGGUCAGAGGGAGCCGGACGCUCGGCUCUUCUUCAAUCUUUUUGGGUUCGAUUGUGUCAGACUCGUAGAUUUGCUUCGAGUGGUCGGUCUCCUUCGAUUGGUGUCACAAACUGUGAGUCCUGUCUGUCACUGGAAAGCAAGGUCACCAACUCGACGAGACGGAAACGAUGUGAGUUACUUUGAUCUGGAGACAAAGCGGAAAAUAGGCUAAUCAGAGACAAAUAGAGUUCUAAAACAGAAAUGUCCUACAAAUCUUGGGGUCAAAAUGACCACCUAGGGUUUACUAAAGUGCAUUUGUUGUUUCGCAAUUUAUAGAAAAGGUGAGUAGAUCUGAAACACUACAUUUUAUUGAUGACCAUAAACUAACUUGUAACUAGUUGAUUAAUCACAAGAUGUAUUUAUGCACUAGUGCCAAAUAUUAGAAGAGCCUAGCUUCUUCAAAAACAUGGUGCUUUUAUUGGUACACGUUUCCUAUUUACCAUU
Gasterosteus aculeatus aculeatus (three-spined stickleback) is the source of this 2799-nucleotide long non-coding RNA. NCBI's taxonomy places the organism in Eukaryota, Metazoa, Chordata, Actinopteri, Perciformes, Gasterosteidae. The record is from Ensembl.